CAGCCGCCGCGGUAAUACGUAGGUGGCAAGCGUUGUCCGGAAUUAUUGGGCGUAAAGGGCUCGCAGGCGGUUUCUUAAGUCUGAUGUGAAAGCCCCCGGCUCAACCGGGGAGGGUCAUUGGAAACUGGGAAACCUGAGUGCAGAAGAGGAGAGUGGAAUUCCACGUGUAGCGGUGAAAUGCGUAGAGAUGUGGAGGAACACCAGUGGCGAAGGCGACUCUCUGGUCUGUAACUGACGCUGAGGAGCGAAAGCGUGGGGAGCGAACAGGAUUAGAUACCCCGGUAGUCCCUGUCUCUUAUAC
RNAcentral lists this ribosomal RNA (301 nucleotides) under uncultured bacterium. RNAcentral describes it as "partial 16S ribosomal RNA". It matches the Rfam family "Bacterial small subunit ribosomal RNA", at positions 509 to 807 of the family's 1533-position model. The record is from RNAcentral.